Molecule: ribosomal RNA, 572 nt
Filed under: Salmonella enterica
Lineage: Bacteria; Pseudomonadati; Pseudomonadota; Gammaproteobacteria; Enterobacterales; Enterobacteriaceae
Description: partial 23S ribosomal RNA
Rfam family: Bacterial large subunit ribosomal RNA
Source: RNAcentral
GGUUAUCACGGGAGACACACGGCGGGUGCUAACGUCCGUCGUGAAGAGGGAAACAACCCAGACCGCCAGCUAAGGUCCCAAAGUCAUGGUUAAGUGGGAAACGAUGUGGGAAGGCCCAGACAGCCAGGAUGUUGGCUUAGAAGCAGCCAUCAUUUAAAGAAAGCGUAAUAGCUCACUGGUCGAGUCGGCCUGCGCGGAAGAUGUAACGGGGCUAAACCAUGCACCGAAGCUGCGGCAGCGAACGUAUCACUUAAAGCGAUUCAGCGGGUUACGAUUGACGGAGCGAAGCGACGUCAAAGCGUAUACAAAGUCGAGUCGGUUUAAGGAUACGUUCGUUGGGUAGGGGAGCGUUCUGUAAGCCUGUGAAGGUGGCCUGUGAGGGUUGCUGGAGGUAUCAGAAGUGCGAAUGCUGACAUAAGUAACGAUAAAGCGGGUGAAAAGCCCGCUCGCCGGAAGACCAAGGGUUCCUGUCCAACGUUAAUCGGGGCAGGGUGAGUCGACCCCUAAGGCGAGGCCGAAAGGCGUAGUCGAUGGGAAACGGGUUAAUAUUCCCGUACUUGGUGUUACUGCGA